Molecule: ribosomal RNA, 967 nt
Filed under: uncultured bacterium
Lineage: Bacteria
Description: bacterial SSU rRNA
Rfam family: Bacterial small subunit ribosomal RNA
Source: RNAcentral
AGAGUUUGAUCAUGGCUCAGAACGAACGCUGGCGGCGUGGAUAAGACAUGCAAGUCGAGCGCUGAUUUCAGGGUAGCAAUAUUCUGAAGUCGGAGCGGCGCAAGGGUGCGUAACACGUGGGUAAUCUGCCGUGAAGUUUGGGAUAACUUGCUGAAAGGCGAGCUAAUACCGGAUGUGACCGCUGGGAGGCAUCUCCCGGUGGUUAAAGUUGGGGACCGUAAGGCCUGACGCUUCAUGAUGAACCCGCGGCCUAUCAGCUAGUUGGUGAGGUAACGGCCCACCAAGGCUAAGACGGGUAGCUGGUCUGAGAGGACGACCAGCCACACUGGAACUGAGACACGGUCCAGACACCUACGGGUGGCAGCAGUCGAGAAUUUUUCACAAUGGGCGCAAGCCUGAUGGAGCGACGCCGCGUGGAGGAUGAAUGGCUUCGGCCCGUAAACCCCUGUCAUUCGCGAUCAACCGUUGUUAUUUAAAAGAUGACAGCCUGAUAGUAGCGGAAGAGGAAGGGACGGCUAACUCUGUGCCAGCAGCCGCGGUAAUACAGAGGUCCCGAGCGUUGUUCGGAUUCACUGGGCGUAAAGGGUGCGUAGGUGGUGAGGUAAGUCGGAUGUGAAAGCUCGGAGCUCAACUCCGAAAUGGCAUUGGAAACUACCUUGCUAGAGGGUUGGAGGGGGGACUGGAAUACUUGGUGUAGCAGUGAAAUGCGUAGAUAUCAAGUGGAACACCAGUGGCGAAGGCGAGUCCCUGGACAACUCCUGACACUGAGGCACGAAAGCUAGGGGAGCAAACAGGAUUAGAUACCCUGGUAGUCCUAGCCGUAAACGGUGCACGUUUGCUGUAAAAGGAAUCGACCCCUUUUGUGGCGUAGCCAACGCGUUAAACGUGCCGCCUGGGAAGUACGGUCGCAAGAUUAAAACUCAAAGAAAUUGACGGGGGCCUGCACAAGCGGUGGGAGUAUGUGGCU